This 497-nucleotide ribosomal RNA is filed under the name uncultured bacterium. Its description in RNAcentral is "partial 16S ribosomal RNA". It matches the Rfam family "Bacterial small subunit ribosomal RNA", at positions 28 to 507 of the family's 1533-position model. The record is from RNAcentral.
GAUGAACGCUGGCGGCGUGCCUAAUACAUGCCAGUCGAGCGAACAGACGAGGAGCUUGCUCCUCUGACGUUAGCGGCGGACGGGUGAGUAACACGUGGAUAACCUACCUAUAAGACUGGGAUAACUUCGGGAAACCGGAGCUAAUACCGGAUAAUAUAUUGAACCGCAUGGUUCAAUAGUGAAAGACGGUUUUGCUGUCACUUAUAGAUGGAUCCGCGCCGCAUUAGCUAGUUGGUAAGGUAACGGCUUACCAAGGCAACGAUGCGUAGCCGACCUGAGAGGGGGAUGGACACAAUGGGAACGGAAACAGGGCCGAAACCCAGAGGGGGGGCACAGGGGGGAAUUCUCCGGAAAGGGCCAAAAGCCAGAAGGAGAAACGCGGAGGGAGGGAAAAAGGUCUCCGGAACGAAAAACUUUUUUAUGGGGGAAAAAAAAAUGUGAAAGAAACUAUGCGCGUCUGGACGGAACAUAAUAAAAAAGAAACGAAAAACUACGUG